AGGGUGAAAAGUUUCCUAAAUACAAAAACUUUUGCACCGUCGCCGUCGCUUCGUACGAGCGCCAGAAACGAGUGCGAGUUGCCUGCCCCGCUGUCAACUGCGAGUUGUGAAUUCUACGCGGUUGCAAGUUCUUAAGCUGCGGAGCGUGGAACGUGUAACGUUGCCGUCGUCAACGUUUUGUUGUUUAUUUGCGCGUUUAAUUUUCCUUUUCAUACCAAAAACAAACAAACAACAACAACACACAAUUAAAUUUAAUUUAAUUAAGUAAGCAACCCAGUGAAAUACUUUGAUCAGGGAUUGCAGUUGAAAUGAAAAACGAGUUUCAAAUGUGUUACAACAACAGAAAACUGGCAAUUAUGUUGCUCAAGUGAUUAGUGCCAACAACAACAGCUACAACUAAAACAACUGCAACAAUCAUAGUAACAAUAACAACAACAACAACAACAAUCGGCAACAACAAAUGCUUGCAUUUCUUUGAGCAACAUUUAUAAUUUCCAUGCAUCUUCGCAUCGUUUCUUUGCGUUAAUUCUCUUUUCGUGUCGCGUUCGCAUCUUUCGCGUUUUGUUCGUAUUGUAAACAGUUAAUUCUUAAUUCACUCUACCCCUCUCCCACCCUCUCCCUGUCCUUGUUACUCACAUACACAUACGCUGAGACGGCUUAGCUUUCGUUUUCGUUUUACAUUUUCGUGCGCGUUUCGCCUUCCUAACGGUUUUCCGGUUAAAGAGAUAAAGAGGAUCAUUACAGAGGAUCACUUCAUCGUAUGCAACUUCCUAGUGGCAACAGCAGCAAUCGAUCAAUGGCAAUGGAUUAACAAUGCUUUUUAACCAACGGAUUUGAGGAAACCAGCAACAAAAACAACCACAACAGCAACUUUGGCAUGUGAAAUUGAAAAGCAAAGAAAAAAAACAAAAACUACUUUUUGGCUAAUAAUCAAAAUUUUCACUUGAAGUCAAACAAAAAGCAAGAAAUGCAUUAAACGAAAGAAGAAAAUCAACUAAUUAGUAAUAUUAACUUAAUUUUAAUAACUUAUAACAAAUAACGCGAUAAUGUUUAAUUAAUUUGUAAGUA
This is a long non-coding RNA of Drosophila innubila, 1068 nucleotides long. RefSeq lists it as uncharacterized. The record is from RefSeq and is a predicted model, not a curated record. The transcript is spliced from 2 exons. NCBI's taxonomy places the organism in Eukaryota, Metazoa, Arthropoda, Insecta, Diptera, Drosophilidae.